AUCUCCCUCUUUCUUCAGGCCUAACACAUGCAAGUCGAACGAACCUUUCGGGGUUAGUGGCGGACGGGUGAGUAACACGUGGGAACGUGCCUUUAGGUUCGGAAUAACUCAGGGAAACUUGUGCUAAUACCGAAUGUGCCCUUCGGGGGAAAGAUUUAUCGCCUUUAGAGCGGCCCGCGUCUGAUUAGCUAGUUGGUUGAGGUAAUGGCUCACCAAGGCGACGAUCAGUAGCUGGUCUGAGAGGAUGAUCAGCCACAUUGGGACUGAGACACGGCCCAAACUCCUACGGGAGGCAGCAGUGGGGAAUCUUGCGCAAUGGGCGAAAGCCUGACGCAGCCAUGCCGCGUGAAUGAUGAAGGUCUUAGGAUUGUAAAAUUCUUUCACCGGGGACGAUAAUGACGGUACCCGGAGAAGAAGCCCCGGCUAACUUCGUG
This 434-nucleotide ribosomal RNA is filed under the name uncultured bacterium. Its description in RNAcentral is "partial 16S ribosomal RNA". It matches the Rfam family "Bacterial small subunit ribosomal RNA", at positions 36 to 507 of the family's 1533-position model. The record is from RNAcentral.